Molecule: ribosomal RNA, 440 nt
Filed under: uncultured bacterium
Lineage: Bacteria
Description: partial 16S ribosomal RNA
Rfam family: Bacterial small subunit ribosomal RNA
Source: RNAcentral
CCUACGGGAGGCAGCAGUGGGGAAUAUUGGACAAUGGGGGAAACCCUGAUGCAGCGACGCCGCGUGAGUGAAGAAGUAUUUCGGUACGUAAAGCUCUAUCAGCAGGGAAGAAAAUGACGGUACCUGACUAAGAAGCCCCGGCUAACUACGUGCCAGCAGCCGCGGUAAUACGUAGGGGGCAAGCGUUAUCCGGAUUUACUGGGUGUAAAGGGAGCGUAGACGGCAGCGCAAGUCUGGAGUGAAAUCCCAUGGCUUAACCAUGGAACUGCUUUGGAAACUGUGCAGCUAGAGUGCAGGAGAGGUAAGCGGAAUUCCUAGUGUAGCGGUGAAAUGCGUAGAUAUUAGGAGGAACACCAGUGGCGAAGGCGGCUUACUGGACUGUAACUGACGUUGAGGCUCGAAAGCGUGGGGAGCAAACAGGAUUAGAUACCCCAGUAGUC